GGACGACGCUGGCGGCGUGCUUAACACAUGCAAGUCGAACGGUAAGGCCCUUCGGGGUACACGAGUGGCGAACGGGUGAGUAACACGUGGGUGAUCUGCCCUGCACUUCGGGAUAAGCCUGGGAAACUGGGUCUAAUACCGGAUAGGACCAUGGACUUCACGGUUUGUGGUGGAAAGCUUUUGCGGUGUGGGAUGGGCCCGCGGCCUAUCAGCUUGGUGGUGGGGUAAUGGCCUACCAAGGCGACGACGGGUAGCCGGCCUGAGAGGGUGUCCGGCCACACUGGGACUGAGAUACGGCCCAGACUCCUACGGGAGGCAGCAGUGGGGAAUAUUGCACAAUGGGCGCAAGCCUGAUGCAGCGACGCCGCGUGAGGGAUGACGGCCUUCGGGUUGUAAACCUCUUUCAAUAGGGACGAAGCGCAAGUGACGGUACCUAUAGAAGAAGCACCGGCCAACUACGUG
Molecule: ribosomal RNA, 462 nt
Filed under: uncultured bacterium
Lineage: Bacteria
Description: bacterial SSU rRNA
Rfam family: Bacterial small subunit ribosomal RNA
Source: RNAcentral